AACUUUCAACAACGGAUCUCUUGGCUCUCGCAUCGAUGAAGAACGCAGCGAAAUGCGAUAAGUAAUGUGAAUUGCAGAAUUCAGUGAAUCAUCGAAUCUUUGAACGCACCUUGCGCCUUUUGGUAUUCCGAAAGGCAUGCCUGUUUGAGUGUCAUGAAA
Molecule: ribosomal RNA, 159 nt
Filed under: Papiliotrema laurentii
Lineage: Eukaryota; Fungi; Basidiomycota; Tremellomycetes; Tremellales; Rhynchogastremaceae
Also listed under: 2 other names
Description: 5.8S ribosomal RNA
Rfam family: 5.8S ribosomal RNA
About the family: 5.8S ribosomal RNA (5.8S rRNA) is a component of the large subunit of the eukaryotic ribosome. It is transcribed by RNA polymerase I as part of the 45S precursor that also contains 18S and 28S rRNA. Functionally, it is thought that 5.8S rRNA may be involved in ribosome translocation.
Source: RNAcentral